GCCGGGGUGGCGAAAUUGGCAUACGCAGCGGACUUAAAAUCCGCCGUCCCGCAAGGGAUUUGUGGGUUCAAAUCCCACCCCCGGCACCA
RNAcentral lists this transfer RNA (89 nucleotides) under Chloroflexota bacterium. Its description in RNAcentral is "Chloroflexi bacterium (marine sediment metagenome) tRNA-Leu". It matches the Rfam family "tRNA". Rfam says of the family: Transfer RNA (tRNA) molecules are approximately 80 nucleotides in length. Their secondary structure includes four short double-helical elements and three loops (D, anti-codon, and T loops). Lineage: Bacteria; Bacillati; Chloroflexota. The record is from RNAcentral.